AACGUACGCUGGCGGCACGCCUAACACAUGCAAGUCGAACGAAGUAGCAAUACUUAGUGGCAGACGGGUGAGUAACAUGUAGGUAUCUGCCCUUUGGCCUGGAAUAACACGAGGAAACUUGUGCUAAUACCGGAUAAGUCUUUACGGAGAAAGCUUUAUGCACCAUUGGAUGAGCCUGCACUUGAUUAGUUUGUUGGUGGGGUAAUGGCCUACCAAGACUGUGAUCAAUAGCUGAUUUGAGAGGAUGAUCAGCCACAUUGGGACUGAGACACGGCACAAACUCCUACGGGAGGCAGCAGUGGGGAAUCUUGCACAAUGGAGGAAACUCUGAUGCAGCGAUGCCGCGUGAGUGAAGAAGGCCCUUGGGUUGUAAAGCUCUUUCGUCGGGGAAGAAAAUGACUGUACCCGAAUAAGAAGGUCCGGCUAACUUCGUGCCAGCAGCCGCGGUAAUACGAAGGGACCUAGCGUAGUUCGGAAUUACUGGGCUUAAGGAGUUCGUAGGUGGUUGAAAAAGUUAGUGGUGAAAUCCCAGAGCUUAACUCUGGAACUGCCAUUAAAACUUUUCAGCUAGAGUAUGAUAGAGGAAAGCAGAAUUUCUAGUGUAGAGGUGAAAUUCGUAGAUAUUAGAAAGAAUACCAAUUGCGAAGGCAGCUUUCUGGAUCAUUACUGACACUGAGGAACGAAAGCAUGGGUAGCGAAGAGGAUUAGAUACCCUCGUAGUCCAUGCCGUAAACGAUGUGUGUUAGACGUUGGAAAUUUAUUUUCAGUGUCGCAGGGAAACCGAUAAACACACCGCCUGGGGAGUACGACCGCAAGGUUAAAACUCAAAUGAAUUGACGGGGACCCGCACAAGUAGUGGAGCAUGUGGUUAAUUCGAAGAUACGCGCAGAACCUUACCAACACUUGACAUGUUCGUCGCGACUCUAAGAGAUUAGAGUUUUCGGUUCGGCCGGACGAAACACAGGUGCUGCAUGGCUGUCGUCAGCUCGUGUCGUGAGAUGUUGGGUUAAGUCCCGCAACGAGCGCAACCCUCACUUUUAGUUGCCAUCAUUAAGUUGGGCACUCUGAAAGAACUGCCAGUGAUAAGCUGGAGGAAGGUGGGGAUGACGUCAAGUCCUCAUGGCCCUUACGUGUUGGGCUACACACGUGCUACAAUGGUAUCUACAACAGGAAGCAAGACUGCGAAGUUAAGCAAAUCCCUAAAAGAUACUUCAGUUCGGAUUGCACUCUGCAACUCGAGUGCAUGAAGCUGGAAUUACUAGUAAUCGUGGAUCAGCGUGCCCACGGUGAAUGCGUUCCCGGGUCU
RNAcentral lists this ribosomal RNA (1306 nucleotides) under uncultured bacterium. RNAcentral's name for it is "bacterial SSU rRNA". It matches the Rfam family "Bacterial small subunit ribosomal RNA", at positions 28 to 1381 of the family's 1533-position model. The record is from RNAcentral.